RNAcentral lists this ribosomal RNA (256 nucleotides) under uncultured bacterium. RNAcentral's name for it is "partial 16S ribosomal RNA". It matches the Rfam family "Bacterial small subunit ribosomal RNA", at positions 524 to 776 of the family's 1533-position model. The record is from RNAcentral.
UACGUAGGGCGCAAGCGUUGUCCGGAAUUAUUGGGCGUAAAGAGCUCGUAGGCGGUUUGUCGCGUCUGCUGUGAAAACCCGAGGCUCAACCUCGGGCCUGCAGUGGGUACGGGCAGACUAGAGUGUGGUAGGGGAGACUGGAAUUCCUGGUGUAGCGGUGGAAUGCGCAGAUAUCAGGAGGAACACCAAUGGCGAAGGCAGGUCUCUGGGCCACAACUGACGCUGGAGGAAGCGAAAGCCGUGGGGAGCGAACAGG